This 516-nucleotide ribosomal RNA is filed under the name Veillonella dispar. RNAcentral's name for it is "bacterial SSU rRNA". It matches the Rfam family "Bacterial small subunit ribosomal RNA", at positions 376 to 883 of the family's 1533-position model. The record is from RNAcentral. Lineage: Bacteria; Bacillati; Bacillota; Negativicutes; Veillonellales; Veillonellaceae.
CGAAAGUCUGACGGAGCAACGCCGCGUGAGUGAUGACGGCCUUCGGGUUGUAAAGCUCUGUUAAUCGGGACGAAAGGCCUUCUUGCGAAUAGUGAGAAGGAUUGACGGUACCGGAAUAGAAAGCCACGGCUAACUACGUGCCAGCAGCCGCGGUAAUACGUAGGUGGCAAGCGUUGUCCGGAAUUAUUGGGCGUAAAGCGCGCGCAGGCGGAUAGGUCAGUCUGUCUUAAAAGUUCGGGGCUUAACCCCGUGAUGGGAUGGAAACUGCCAAUCUAGAGUAUCGGAGAGGAAAGUGGAAUUCCUAGUGUAGCGGUGAAAUGCGUAGAUAUUAGGAAGAACACCAGUGGCGAAGGCGACUUUCUGGACGAAAACUGACGCUGAGGCGCGAAAGCCAGGGGAGCGAACGGGAUUAGAUACCCCGGUAGUCCUGGCCGUAAACGAUGGGUACUAGGUGUAGGAGGUAUCGACCCCUUCUGUGCCGGAGUAACGCCAAUAAGUACCCCGCCUGGGGAGUAC